CCUACGGGAGGCAGCAGUAGGGAAUCUUCCGCAAUGGGCGAAAGCCUGACGGAGCAACGCCGCGUGAGUGAUGAAGGCCUUCGGGUUGUAAAACUCUGUCUUCUGUGAAGAACCAUCCUGUGCAGAGAAAGCUCAGGACCUGACGGUAACAGAGGAGGAAGCCCCGGCUAACUACGUGCCAGCAGCCGCGGUAAUACGUAGGGGGCAAGCGUUGUCCGGAAUCACUGGGCGUAAAGCGCGCGCAGGCGGUCUUUCACGUCCGGGGUGAAAGCCCAGAGCUCAACUCUGGGAUUGCCUUGGAUACGGGGAGACUUGAGGAUCGGAGAGGCAAGGGGAAUUCCACGUGUAGCGGUGAAAUGCGUAGAGAUGUGGAGGAACACCUGUGGCGAAGGCGCCUUGCUGGCCGAUUUCUGACGCUGAGGCGCGAAAGCGUGGGGAGCAAACAGGAUUAGAUACCCUGGUAGUCCACGCCGUAAACGAUGAGUGCUAGGUGUUAGGGGGCCCACCCCGUUAGUGCCGAAGCUAACGCAUUAAGCACNCCGCCGUCGGGAGGUACGGUCGCGAGACGUAGAACGUAACGUAAGUAGUAGACGNGAGAGAGCGACGACGACGACGAGGAGGGAGGAGG
RNAcentral lists this ribosomal RNA (628 nucleotides) under uncultured bacterium. RNAcentral's name for it is "bacterial SSU rRNA". The stretch from base 1 to 544 matches the Rfam family "Bacterial small subunit ribosomal RNA", at positions 338 to 873 of the family's 1533-position model. The record is from RNAcentral.